GCCAUUUCUAAUCAGCACUCACCACGAUACAAUACAAUUAUGUACAGCACAAUGAAGCGAUCAAUUGAAAUCGAUUUCUGUUUUAUUUUUACUGAGAACUAGCCAACAUGUGGUUAUGCUGUAUUUUCUUAACCUUAACCUUGGGAUCGCUCUUUCAGGCCAGAUAUCUGGAUGAGGAUAUGCUUUUGUUUUGGAAGCGUUCAGAAGCUGUCGGCUGCAAGCCUUUUACAUCAUACACAGUGGAAUGCAAUCGAUGUGUGUGUGGUGCUGAUAGUAUAGAGUACUGCACCCGAAUGUCUUGCUUAGUGCCAGAAACAACAAGAUCCGAUGAAAAUUCAGACUACUCAAAACAGGAUUAAUUACAUUUAUAAAACCCACAUCUGUAACUUUUAAAUUGACAUAAUUUUAAUAAGAAAUUUUUACUUUCAAAUUAAUGGAUCAUAUUAAUAUAUUGGCAGCUUAAGACUAAGAUUGCAUUGUUUAAUAAAUUGUUAUUAGAUAGUUAACUUUUACUAUAUAUUUUAAAUAA
Long non-coding RNA from Leptidea sinapis, 529 nucleotides. RefSeq lists it as uncharacterized. The transcript has 4 exons. The record is from RefSeq and is a predicted model, not a curated record. Lineage: Eukaryota; Metazoa; Arthropoda; Insecta; Lepidoptera; Pieridae.